RNAcentral lists this ribosomal RNA (468 nucleotides) under uncultured bacterium. Its description in RNAcentral is "partial 16S ribosomal RNA". It matches the Rfam family "Bacterial small subunit ribosomal RNA", at positions 28 to 507 of the family's 1533-position model. The record is from RNAcentral.
GACGAACGCUGGCGGCGUGCUUAACACAUGCAAGUCGAACGGAAAGGCCCUGCUUUUGUUGGGUUCUCGAGUGGCGAACGGGUGAGUAACACGUGAGUAACCUGCACUUGACUUUGGGAUAACUUCAGGAAACUGGGGCUAAUACCGGGUAGGAUCUUCUGCUGCAUAUGGGUGGUUGGAAAGUUUCGGCGGUUGUGGAUGGACUCGCUGCUUAUCAGCUGGUUUGUGUGGUAGUUGCUUACCAAGCCUUUGACGGGUAGCCUGCCUGAGAGGGUGACCGGCGACCUUGCGCCUGCGAUAGGGACCAGACUGCUACCGGACGCAGCAGUGGGGAAUAUUGCAGAAUGGGCGCACGCCUGAUGCAGCAAUGUCGCGAGCGGGAUGCCGGGCUUCGGGUUGUAAACAGAUUUCGAAUGUGACGAAGCGUGCGUGACGGUACUGGGUCAAGAAGCCACGGCUAACUACGUG